This is a long non-coding RNA of Patiria miniata (bat star), 71 nucleotides long. RefSeq lists it as uncharacterized. The record is from RefSeq and is a predicted model, not a curated record. The transcript is spliced from 2 exons. NCBI's taxonomy places the organism in Eukaryota, Metazoa, Echinodermata, Asteroidea, Valvatida, Asterinidae.
UCAGAAAAAUGAUUUAACUGAAACAAAUCAGAAAUUGAUGACGUGCAUGCCAUGAGCAGCCAGUGAUGCAA